AAUUUAUUCAUUGGUCAAGCUUAACUGUCUGUACUGGUGUGAUGAAUUUCUACCUUCUGAGGAAUCAUUAUGCCAUUCACUUGGUGUGAUGGGGAAUCAGGACUGUUACUUUGAAAAAAUUAGAGUGUUUAAAGCAAACUAACGUCUGAAUACAUUAGCAUGGAAUAAUAAAAUAGGACGGGUUGGUUCUAUUUUAUUGGUUUCUAGGAUCACUGUA
Molecule: ribosomal RNA, 217 nt
Filed under: uncultured Diversispora
Lineage: Eukaryota; Fungi; Glomeromycota; Glomeromycetes; Diversisporales; Diversisporaceae
Description: partial 18S ribosomal RNA
Rfam family: Eukaryotic small subunit ribosomal RNA (bases 47-217)
Source: RNAcentral